Molecule: long non-coding RNA, 3599 nt
Filed under: Sus scrofa (pig)
Lineage: Eukaryota; Metazoa; Chordata; Mammalia; Artiodactyla; Suidae
Description: lncRNA (ENSSSCG00040015702.1)
Source: RNAcentral
GUUUGUGGGAGAAGGUGAGCACGACCUCUUACUCCUCUGCCAUCUUGCUCCUCCUCCCCUGCUUUUUUUUUUUUAAAGUGUAGAUUCCCUUCCUUUACUUUGGGAUAGUCCUCAUUAAUUAAUGUUAUCCCUAUUUCAUUAGCCUGAAUAAAAAUCAUUUCCUUAAUUGAUGCAUUUUAUCUUUCACAGAGGAUUACAUAAUAUAUGAAAAUACUGAAAUACUGAAUUACUGAAAUUAAGUUAAAUACUGAAGCUUCUCUGAUACACAGUAAGGUAUCAAUAAAGGUUACAAUAUUAAUAUGGAAAAGGUAAACCUCACUAAUAUACCAUUAGGUAUCUAUUAGAAUGACUAAAUCAAAAAACAUAACAAGUCCAAAUGUUGGCAGGAAUGUGGAGUAAUUAGAAGUCUCAUACAUUACUAGAGUUCCCAUCAUGGCUCAAUGUCUAAUGAAUCUGACUAGGAAUCAUGAGGUUGUGGGUACGACCCCUGGCCUUGCUCAGUGGGUUAAGGAUCCGGCAUUGACCUGAGCUGUGGUGUAGGUUGCAGAUGCAGCUCAGAACCCGUGUUUCCGUGGCUGUAGAAUAGGCCGGUGGCUAUGGCUCCAAAUAGACCCCUGGCCUGGGAACCUCCAUAUGCCAUGGGUGUGGCCCUAGAAAAGGCAAAAAGACAAAAAACAAUAAAAUAAAUAAAAUAAAAGGGGUUAUGGAAAUGGGAAAGAAAACUCUAAGGGUGCAUACUACAUGAUUUCCUUUAUAUGACAUUAUCACAAAUGCAAAACAGUAGGGAGAGAAAACAGAUUAGUAGCUGCUGGAAGCUAGGAUGAUAGUUGAAUAUAAAUGCAAAUGAGGGAAUUUUUUUAAGGUGAUAGGACUUUCCUAGAUCUUCAUUUUGGUGUUAGUUACGAGACUAUUCAUUUUUGAAAAUUCAUAGAACUGUAUACUUUCAAGGGGGAAUUCUUUUAUAUUUAAGUUAUAUCUCAAUAAACCUCACCCCUAAAAAGAGAUAGUACUUCUUGCAUGCAAGAUGUUGUAAAACCUCUUCAUUGCAAAGCAACAAGUUCCCCCUCAAAGACUACCCCUGAUCUCUUCUACUGGCUGCCAGGCUAAUAAUUAAGGUUAAAUCAUACUAGGAUUGAUAAGGUUGCAUGUGUAACUGGGUCACCAGGCUGUACAGUAGAAAAAAUACAUAUAUCUAUGUAAAUAAAUGAUAAAAAAAGAUGGUAAAAAAAAGGUUGGAAAGAGAUGUACACCCCCAAGAAGCAGAAAGGAUUCUGUAACAUACACUGGCAAGAACCAGAGGAAUAAGAGCUAAUGAUGUUGAAUAUCUUUUUAGACCUUUUUUUUUUAUAUAUCUGUAUAUCCUCAUCAGUGAAAUGUUUGUUCCUAUGUUUUGGCCAUUUUCUAAUUGGUUUUUUUUAUAACUACUGAGCUUUUGAGAGUUCUUUACGUGUGUUAGUGCGUGCGUGUGUGUGUGUGUGUAUUUAGAUCUGUAUGCUUUCCUGGUAUGUUGAUCCACUUAUUACUGUUAUGUCCUUAUUUGUUUAAUUUUCUUUUUCUGAAGUCUACUUUAAAAUUAAUAUACCUACUUCUGUUAUUUUUGAUUAAUGUUUUCUGGGCAUAUCUUUUUCCAACAUUUUUUUUACUUUAAAUCUACCUAUGUUGUUGUGUAUUAAGUGAAUUUCUUGUAAACAGUAUAUUGCUGUACCAUUUUACUUUAAUCCUGCUGCCAAACUGUCUUUUAAAUGAUGAAUUCAGGUCAUUUACUUUUAAGAAAAUUAUUGAUAUGUUAAGACUUAAGCCUUGUCAUUUUACUAUCUAUUUUCUGUUUGUUUGCUUGGGUUCUUAUUCCUCUAUUCCCUUCCUGUGAGUUAUUUGGACACAUAGGGGGAUUCCAUCUUGAUUUAUUUGUACUGUUAUAUUUUAUUCUUUAUUAAUGGUGUUUUUAAAAAAUUAUUUUUAAUUCAUUUUUUAUUAUAGUUGAUUUACAGUGCUGUGCCAAUUUCUGCUAUACAGAAAAGUGACUCAGUUAUACAUUUAUAUACAUUCUUUUUCUUUUCAUACUAUCUUUCAUCAUGGUCUAUCUCAAGAUACUGGAUAUUGUUCCCUGUGCUAUACAGUAGGACCACUUUGAUUAUCCAUUCUAAAUGUAAUAGUUUGCACCUACCCACCCCAAAUUCCCUGCCCAUCCCACUUCCUCCCCCUCAUGCUUGGCAACCACAAGUCUGUUCUCUAUGUUUGUGAGUCUGUUUCUGUUUUGUAGAUAAGUUUAUUUGUAUCAUAUUUUAGAUUGCACACAUAAGUGAUGUCAUAUGGUAUUUGCUUUCUCUUUUUGACUUACUUCAGUUAGUAUGAGAAAUAAACUAUUUAAAAAAACACAGAAUGGGAGAAAAUCUUUGCAAAUGAUGCAACUGACAAGGGCCUAAGCUCUAAAACAAGUCAUAAAACUCAACCACAACAAAAAGACAAACAAUACAAUAAAAAAAAUGGGCAGAAGACCUAAACAGACAUUAGUCUAAAGAAGAUACAAAUAGGCACAUAAAAAGAUGCUCGACAUCACUAAUUAUUAGAGAAAUGCAAAUCAAAACUUGAUUGAGGUACUACUUCACAUUGGUCAGAAUUGGCCAUCAUCAAAAUGUCUACAAAUAACUAAUUCUAGAGAGGGUGUGGAGAAAAGGGAAGCCUUCUUCACUGUUGGUGGGAAUGGAAAUUUGUACAACGACUGUGGAAAACAGUAUGGAAGCUCCUCAGAAAACUUAAAAAAAUAGAGAACUACCAUAUGAUCCAGCAAUUCCACUCAUGGGCAUAUUUCUGGACAAAACUAGAAUUUGAAAAAAAUACAUAGACCCCUAUGUUCUUUGCAGCACUAUUCACAAUAGCCAAGACAUGGAAAAAACCUAAAUGUCCAUCAACAGAUGAAUGGAUUAAGAACAUGUGAUACAUAUAUACCAUGGAAUAAUAUUUUGCCAUAAAAUGAAUGAAAUAAUGGCAUUUGCAGCAACAUGGAUGCAACUAUUCUGUUUUAAAAUAUAUUACUUUGUAUAAUAUCUUUGGUGGUUGCUCUACGUAUUACAAGACACAUAUGUAACUUAUUACAAACCACUCUUUUUUUUUUUUUUUUUUUUUUUUUGUUGUUGUUGUUGUCUUUUGGCUAUUUCUUCGGGCCGCUUCUGUGGCAUAUGGAGGUUCCCAGGCUAGGGGUCGAAUCGGAGCUGUAGCCACUGGCCUACGCCAGAGCCACAGCAACGCAGGAUCCGAGCCGCGUCUGCAACCUACACCACAGCUCACGGCAACGCCGGAUCGUUAACCCACUGAGCAAGGGCAGGGACCGAACCCGNNNNNNNNNNNNNNNNNNNNNNNNNNNNNNNNNNNNNNNNNNNNNNNNNNNNNNNNNNNNNNNNNNNNNNNNNUUUUUUUUUUUUUUUUUUUUUUUUGACAAACCACUCUUAUCAACAUUUUACCACUUGAAGUAAAGAUAAAAACCUAGCUUCCACUUACAUCCUUUUAGACCCACCACUUUUCAAAUAUAUUUGUCUUGAAUAUUUCCCAUGUAUUUGAGCAUCACACUAAAUGGUGUCAUAUCUUUUGCUUCAAUCUUCAAA